AGCGAACGCUGGCGGCAGGCUUAACACAUGCAAGUCGAGCGGGCCCUUCGGGGUCAGCGGCGGACGGGUGAGUAACGCGUGGGAACGUGCCUUCUGGUCUGGAAUAACCCUGGGAAACUAGGGCUAAUACCGGAUACGCCCUUUUGGGGAAAGGUUUACUGCCGGAAGAUCGGCCCGCGUCUGAUUAGCUAGUUGGUGGGGUAACGGCCUACCAGGGCGACGAUCAGUAGCUGGUCUGAGAGGAUGAUCAGCCACACUGGGAAUGAGACACGGCCCAGACUCCUACGGGAGGCAGCAGUGGGGAAUAUUGGACAAUGGGCGCAAGCCUGAUCCAGCCAUGCCGCGUGAGUGAUGAAGGCCUUAGGGUUGUAAAGCUCUUUUAUCCGGGACGAUAAUGACGGUACCGGAGGAAUAAGCCCCGGCUAACUUCGUGCCAGCAGCCGCGGUAA
RNAcentral lists this ribosomal RNA (449 nucleotides) under uncultured bacterium. RNAcentral's name for it is "partial 16S ribosomal RNA". It matches the Rfam family "Bacterial small subunit ribosomal RNA", at positions 29 to 523 of the family's 1533-position model. The record is from RNAcentral.